ACCUCCAUGGUACAGUGGACUAGUACGCGUUCCAGGAUAUAAGUAAGGCUUGUUGAGAAGCAAUUUAGGAACGAGACGUGGGGGUUCGAUUCCCGACUGCAGGUC
Molecule: non-coding RNA, 105 nt
Organism: Coprinopsis sp. MPI-PUGE-AT-0042
Lineage: Eukaryota; Fungi; Basidiomycota; Agaricomycetes; Agaricales; Psathyrellaceae
Source: the annotation of a GenBank genome assembly